CAUUAAGAAGCUAUGAACCAGCAUUAGCCUUUUAAGCUAAAGAAAGAGGGAUCCAUCCCUCCUUAAUGA
RNAcentral lists this transfer RNA (69 nucleotides) under Gymnomystax mexicanus (oriole blackbird). Its description in RNAcentral is "tRNA-Lys". It matches the Rfam family "tRNA". Rfam says of the family: Transfer RNA (tRNA) molecules are approximately 80 nucleotides in length. Their secondary structure includes four short double-helical elements and three loops (D, anti-codon, and T loops). The record is from RNAcentral. Lineage: Eukaryota; Metazoa; Chordata; Aves; Passeriformes; Icteridae.